UACGAAGGGGGCUAGCGUUGCUCGGAAUCACUGGGCGUAAAGCGCACGUAGGCGGCUUCUUAAGUUAGGGGUGAAAUCCUGGAGCUCAACUCCAGAACUGCCUUUGAUACUGAGGAGCUUGAGUCCGGGAGAGGUGAGUGGAACUGCGAGUGUAGAGGUGAAAUUCGUAGAUAUUCGCAAGAACACCAGUGGCGAAGGCGGCUCACUGGCCCGGUACUGACGCUGAGGUGCGAAAGCGUGGGGAGCAAACAGG
This 253-nucleotide ribosomal RNA is filed under the name uncultured bacterium. RNAcentral describes it as "partial 16S ribosomal RNA". It matches the Rfam family "Bacterial small subunit ribosomal RNA", at positions 524 to 776 of the family's 1533-position model. The record is from RNAcentral.